ACGGGUGAGUAACAUUUAGGAAUCUGCCUAGUAGUGGGGGAUAGCUUGGGGAAACUCGAAUUAAUACCGCAUACGACCUACGGGUGAAAGGGGGCGCAAGCUCUUGCUAUUAGAUGAGCCUAAAUCAGAUUAGCUAGUUGGUGGGGUAAAGGCCUACCAAGGCGACGAUCUGUAACUGGUCUGAGAGGAUGAUCAGUCACACCGGAACUGAGACACGGUCCGGACUCCUACGGGAGGCAGCAGUGGGGAAUAUUGGACAAUGGGGGCAACCCUGAUCCGGCCAUGCCGCGUGUGUGAAGAAGGCCUUUUGGUUGUAAAGCACUUUAAGCAGGGAGGAGAGGCUAAUGGUUAAUACCCAUUAGAUUAGACGUUACCUGCAGAAUAAGCACCGGCUAACUCUGUGCCAGCAGCCGCGGUAAUACAGAGGGUGCGAGCGUUAAUCGGAAUUACUGGGCGUAAAGCGAGUGUAGGUGGCUCAUUAAGUCACAUGUGAAAUCCCCGGGCUUAACCUGGGAACUGCAUGUGAUACUGGUGGUGCUAGAAUAUGUGAGAGGGAAGUAGAAUUCCAGGUGUAGCGGUGAAAUG
This 585-nucleotide ribosomal RNA is filed under the name uncultured bacterium. RNAcentral describes it as "bacterial SSU rRNA". It matches the Rfam family "Bacterial small subunit ribosomal RNA", at positions 102 to 688 of the family's 1533-position model. The record is from RNAcentral.